Molecule: ribosomal RNA, 502 nt
Filed under: uncultured bacterium
Lineage: Bacteria
Description: partial 16S ribosomal RNA
Rfam family: Bacterial small subunit ribosomal RNA
Source: RNAcentral
GACGAACGCUGGCGGCGUGCUUAACACAUGCAAGUCGAACGGUGAAGGGGCCUGCUUUUGUGGGCCCUGGAUGAGUGGCGACCGGGUGAGUAACACGUGAGUAACCUGCCCCCUUCUUCUGGAUAACCGCAUGAAAGUGUGGCUAAUACGGGAUAUUCUGGGUCUGUCGCAUGAUGGGUCUGGGAAAGAUUGCGCCUUUGGGUGUUUUUGGUGGGGGAUGGGCUCGCGGCCUAUCAGCUUGUUGGUGGGGUGAUGGCCUACCAAGGCGGUGACGGGUAGCCGGCCUGAGAGGGUGGACGGUCACACUGGGACUGAGACACGGCCCAGACUCCUACGGGAGGCAGCAGUGGGGAAUAUUGCACAAUGGGCGCAAGCCUGAUGCAGCGACGCCGCGUGAGGGAUGGAGGCCUUCGGGUUGUAAACCUCUUUCGCCAGUGAAGCAGGCCUGCUCCUUGUGGGUGGGUUGACGGUAGCUGGAUAAGAAGCGCCGGCUAACUACGUG